GACGAACGCUGGCGGCGUGCUUAACACAUGCAAGUCGAACGGAGCACCUUUGAAAGAGACUUCGGUCAAUGGAUGAGACUGCUUAGUGGCGGACGGGUGAGUAACGCGUGAGGAACCUGCCUUUCAGAGGGGGACAACAGUUGGAAACGACUGCUAAUACCGCAUGAUGCAUGAUCAGGGCAUCCUGGACAUGCCAAAGAUUUAUCGCUGAAAGAUGGACUCGCGUCUGAUUAGCUGGUUGGCGGGGUAACGGCCCACCAAGUCAACGAUCAGUAGCCGGUCUGAGAGGAUGAACGGCCACAUUGGGACUGAGAUACGGCCCAG
Molecule: ribosomal RNA, 324 nt
Filed under: uncultured bacterium
Lineage: Bacteria
Description: bacterial SSU rRNA
Rfam family: Bacterial small subunit ribosomal RNA
Source: RNAcentral